This is a non-coding RNA of Sarcophilus harrisii (Tasmanian devil), 56 nucleotides long. The record is from Rfam. NCBI's taxonomy places the organism in Eukaryota, Metazoa, Chordata, Mammalia, Dasyuromorphia, Dasyuridae.
GGGAAACGGGGUGAGGGGCUCAGCCCCAGGCCCCAAAGCAAAAAAUAUUUGGGGUA